UUAGUGGGAAUUGUCUACAAGCGUGCCUUUACACCAGCCUAAGAAACAACAUCCCUCUGUCCACCCACGGCCGUCUGGGACUGAGAAGAAAAGAAAUAGAGAGGAUGAGCGACACAAGACAUUAACAGAGAAAGCCUGGAGGAGUGGGCUGAAUAACAAAGAGAUCCUGACUAAGAAUAACAAAAGGAGACAUGAGCGAACGGCGCGCGCGUUUCAUACGUGCUUUUGAACUUUUUCUUAUUUACACCGGGGGACAAGGCCACCAGGACGUCACCGUCACCAUCCUGCAACCGAGAAAUUCAAUGCAAUCUGAAGAUGAAGACGUUUUCAUAAAGUACUGAUAUGCAACACCUGUACAAAAAAUAAAAGGAGCUGACGGCUUUUGAUCCGAGAGCGACGAGCGUUAGGAAUCUGAAUUAAGGAUUUGAUCUGCGGCAAAUGUCAAUGUCACGACUGACGGUAAAUUUUAAAGAAGCUCUUCAAGAAAAAAAAAAACCUGUUCAUUUUU
Molecule: long non-coding RNA, 508 nt
Filed under: Danio rerio (zebrafish)
Lineage: Eukaryota; Metazoa; Chordata; Actinopteri; Cypriniformes; Danionidae
Description: si:dkey-49m19.5 (ENSDARG00000091867.2)
Source: RNAcentral